UUCACAUUGAACACAGACCAGAGAAGUGUUUCCACUAAUUUAUAGGAUGAAAAAAAAAAAAAAACUACUGCCUUUCAUUUCUCUACUCUUCCGACAACUCUGAGAACAAUGGUUCCUGAGAGUGACAAUAUCUGAGGAAAGAGCAGGUCCUGCAACCAACGAGAAAUUCUCCUGCAGCAUUUCAAAGCAGGCAAGAUGGAGAGUAUUUGAGCGGUCAAAUAGAGGAUAUGAGAAGAAAAAAAGAAUAACUUCUAUGUGGAAAACCAUUCAUCAAAGACUGCAUCUGUGAAGGUGUGCAGGAGGACAAAAAUAGGAUCAUUUGGAGACAAAUGGGUUUGUCCCCCUGUUCCAUUCAGGAAUAGAUGAGCCAAAUUGUGAAGACUUCGAACAGCAGGGUCAUACUUUCCCGUGGGGUCACUGUAACCUAGACACAUGUGAUUCUUAAAUUUGUUUGCAUAUGGACAAACUCUGCCAUUGCACCUAACAUCCUAUGGACCAAAGUCCUGUGGAAUUUCCACAUAAAAAUAAAUGGAAAGUUGCCCAUGUCUGAAGAAGAAAAUAUAUUUGAGAAGUACUGUGAAUAAAGAACAGUGUUUUUCUAUGUUGAUUCAAAGAUGGUAUUUUGGUGGCUGGAAGAACGUUAGCUGCAAUAAAAUAUUAACUAUUUUCAAUCCACCAAGUUUGGCGCAUUAAUUUUGAAUAUUGGAGAAAUACUAUGCAACAAGCAUGUGAAGACAUGGGUAUGGAAUAUUUAAAGAAAGAAGGUUUUAUCUAAAGGUGGAAACGUGUGGGUCUCCAGUAAAAGAUGACGAAUGGAACUACAGAAAUGGACAAGAUCAUUAAAGAAGAACAGUAAUAGAAGAGAGAAUUGUUAUGAAGACUAAAUAGGAUACUAUAUCAAUGCAUUUCAUACUAUAUCAGAUACAUAAUAUAUGUUCAAUAAAAUGAUAGUUUUUCCCUUUCCUUUGCCUUAUAAAUAAAAUGUCUGCCAUUUAUCUCUUGCAGUGAGACAAGGGAUAAUCUUAAAAAUAUUUUAACCUAAAAUAAAUAUUCUUCAAUUUGUCAUGAGACUAUGUGUCUGAGUUAGGAGACUUGUUAUAUUAAUUGACAAGAAAAAUUAUGAUG
Molecule: long non-coding RNA, 1125 nt
Filed under: Homo sapiens (human)
Lineage: Eukaryota; Metazoa; Chordata; Mammalia; Primates; Hominidae
Description: HSALNT0351154
Source: RNAcentral